GGAGUGGUGGCUGAGCGGCUGAAAGCACUCCUUUGCUAAAGGAACGUACGGCUUUAAACUGUACCGAGGGUUCGAAUCCCUCCCACUCCG
Molecule: transfer RNA, 90 nt
Filed under: Neoakkermansia glycaniphila
Lineage: Bacteria; Pseudomonadati; Verrucomicrobiota; Verrucomicrobiia; Verrucomicrobiales; Akkermansiaceae
Description: Akkermansia glycaniphila tRNA
Rfam family: tRNA
About the family: Transfer RNA (tRNA) molecules are approximately 80 nucleotides in length. Their secondary structure includes four short double-helical elements and three loops (D, anti-codon, and T loops).
Source: Rfam by way of RNAcentral